RNAcentral lists this ribosomal RNA (497 nucleotides) under uncultured bacterium. RNAcentral describes it as "partial 16S ribosomal RNA". It matches the Rfam family "Bacterial small subunit ribosomal RNA", at positions 28 to 507 of the family's 1533-position model. The record is from RNAcentral.
GAUGAACGCUGGCGGCGUGCCUAAUACAUGCAAGUCGAGCGAACAGACGAGGAGCUUGCUCCUCAGACGUGAGCGGCGGACGGGGGAGUAACACGUGAAUAACCUACCUAUAAGACUGGGAUAACUUCGGGAAACCGGAGCUAAUACCGGAUAAUAUAUUGAACCGAAUGGUUCAAUAGAGAAAGACGGUUUUGCUGUCACUUAUAGAUGGAUCCGCGCCGCAUUAGCUAGUUGGUAAAGUAACGGCUUACCAAGGCAACGAUGCGUAUCCGACCUCAGCGGUGGGUCGGCGACACUGGAACUGAGACACGCCCCAGACUCCUACGGCAGGCAGCAGUAGGGAAUCUUACUCAAUGGGCGAAAGCCUGACGGAGCAACGCCGCGUGAGUGAUGAAGGUCUUCGGAUCGUAAAACUCUGUUAUUAGGGAAGAACAAAUGUGUAAGUAACUAUGCACGUCUUGACGGUACUGAGUCAGAAAGCCACGGCUAACUACGUG